AGUUAUAAUUUGCGAGGUUAGAUCAGGCUGCGCCAUGGCGUCCGCUACUGCUGUCAAGAUCGCCGCCAUCUUCAUGCUGGUGCUGACCAUGGGCCACCUGAUGGCCGAAGCAUCACCGCAGCCUCGGCGCCUGCUUGCAGAAACGGAGCAUGCUGGGGUGUCUGGGAAUGGGAAUCCUGGCCUCCCAGGCGAUGCUAGCGUCAUGCAGGUCCUCGAACCCGCCCUAGCUUCUGUUGUUGCCUGCAAACGAGGGUGCUUACUCCCUUUGCCUCUUCCUGUAUGUGUCUGCUAGAUCCUCUUCCUGGCUCAACGGAACUUCAGGGAAAUGGCUGUGUGACGUCGGCCAAAGAAUAAAUUGGCUGAACAUAAUAUACCCCGGGUAGUGUAGCUUGGGCUUUUGUUCAGCGUCU
Molecule: long non-coding RNA, 410 nt
Filed under: Setaria viridis
Lineage: Eukaryota; Viridiplantae; Streptophyta; Magnoliopsida; Poales; Poaceae
Description: long non-coding RNA (SVIR_LNC008754)
Source: RNAcentral